GCGACCAGAUUGUACGAAUAGGCUAGCUGUCAAACCGAUCAGCCUAUGCUUCUCGUGUGUGGAUAUGUGCGUCACCACGAGUGUGUGUGUCGACAUGUUGUCAUCGUAUAUCUGCCUUGUGUGGUUUUGUACCUAGCGUGAUUUGGCGUCCAAAACUAAAUAAACAUUCUGCAAUCGUUGUGAACAAUCUGGUUUGGUGUUACGGGUCAACUGUACAAAAUGUCGGCUCGAAGGGAAGCUUUGGAAAAGUCUGCUGAACAAGAAUCCGAAAAUGCUGACCCUGAUUCUACGGUUGAUUGUUUACAUACAACCAUACAGAAGACACAGAAGACAACCAAACAAUCGAUGUUGUUCCGAUUAUUGAAACACCGGAUGGUUAUACCGACAACACGUUUGAAGCAUCGCAUCUCGACGAAGACAAUGAUUGGCUGAGUCAAGCUGAUUAUGAAGACAAUGAUGAUCAAGACGAUGAUGAUGAUGAAGAGAUAAUAUCUUCCGGUGGAGUGUCUCAGUUUCGGAACGUGGAAUUGAAAGAAGCUUUGCAGUAUAGGGCGCUCACUACAUAAUAAUUGCGAUCAGCGGUAAACAUGAUGCUCGAAAUCUUUCAUGAGCUUGCCAUCUACAAACAUUUACCGAAAGAUGCACGGACAGUAUUGUAAAUUUCACGAACACCUUUGAAUAUCAAUGCAAUUGAAGGUGGCAGAUAUAUCUACAAUAGAGUAAAACUUUUGCUUGGUAAGUCGCCUUGAGUGAAUUUUGUUUGCCAUAAACGGCUGCACGAUCAACGGCUGCACAGCACAGUAUUUAGUGUGACCUUGCACGCAUUUAUAUGCGAUGUCCUGGCAAAAGCUUACUAUAAAGGUAAGUUGUUUCGUUGCUUUAUUUAACUUACAGCAUAAUUAUUGUUGAAUCAUAUUUCUAAUUUUAGGUGUCAUGUAUUUCAACGCAAAACAUGGAUGUUUGAAAUGUUGCACCGUGGGCAAACACAGCUCUAAGAA
This is a long non-coding RNA of Anopheles funestus (African malaria mosquito), 998 nucleotides long. RefSeq lists it as uncharacterized. NCBI's taxonomy places the organism in Eukaryota, Metazoa, Arthropoda, Insecta, Diptera, Culicidae. The transcript has 3 exons. The record is from RefSeq and is a predicted model, not a curated record.